This is a long non-coding RNA of Eriocheir sinensis (Chinese mitten crab), 1224 nucleotides long. RefSeq lists it as uncharacterized. The transcript has 3 exons. The record is from RefSeq and is a predicted model, not a curated record. NCBI's taxonomy places the organism in Eukaryota, Metazoa, Arthropoda, Malacostraca, Decapoda, Varunidae.
GAUGAGGGUGAUUGUGGUGGGCACCUAUGUGUGUGUGUGACACAAGUGUAGGGUGGAGGUGGUGGGCACCUAUGUGUGUGUGUGUGACACAAGCGUGAGUUGAUAAUGAUGGGAAUAAUAAAAACAUAAGGAGUCUGCAAGAAUUAAGCAAAUAGGCCUAUAGCAAGGCAGCUCCUGUAAACCUAACUCCACCUAAUUGCACUAUUUAUGAAUUUAUCUGCUAAUUUCUUCUUAAAUGUAUCUAUUGCAUACUGGCACUCACAAGGUGGGGUGUUGGUGGUGGGUACCUGUGUGUGACCAGUGGUGGGGUGAUGGUAAAGGGAAAUGUGAGUGUGACAAUCAGUGGUGGGGUGAUGGUGAUGGCCAGCACAGGUGUGACACAGUGGUGGGGUGAUGGUGAUGGCCAGCACAGGUGUGACACAGUGGUGGGGUGAUGGUGAUGGCCAGCACAGGUGUGACACAGUGGUGGGGUGAUGGUGAUGGACAACACAGGUGUGACACAGUGGUGGGGUGAUGGUGAUGGCCAGCACAGGUGUGACACAGUGGUGGGGUGAUGGUGAUGGCCAGCACAGGUGUGACACAGUGGUGGGGUGAUGGUUUAUAUGACAGUAUUUGCUACAAUUACAUUUCAAGUAUAAUAAAACUUUUAUUUAUUUCCAUAACUUGUGAUGUCUAAUUUACUAGUUUCAUUUGUUUAAAAUACACACACACACACACACACACACACAUUUGGUCCCAGCCUAUAGUCUGUUUCAGUAGGAUAUUACAGGCAGCCACACCCCCUCAUGUACUUCAUUUCUGACUGGCCAAGUGGCAGCCAAUCACUGCGCUGGAAAGGUUAAUUAAGUUUGUUUGGCCAGGGAAGCUUGCUCUGCGCUCACACUGCUUCAUAGUGCUAUGGGAUCCAUCAAACAUUAACUUAACGCAAUUUCACUAUUGAACAUGUAUAGUGCCUCAAGGAUUAUGGUGAUACCCCCCCAAAAAUAGUCAUAAGUACACUGUCAGCUUGAAUACAAACAGAAACAUAAAGUGGCUUUUAUCAUAUAUAAAAAAAAAUCUCCAUUCAUCACGUGACAUCUACGAGAAAAAAUAAUGUGUCAAUUUGUGUUAUAGAAUGAAUGUUAUAGAUAAUGACUCAAGGAUGGUAAUCCUACUAAGAAAACACAGAUAGGCCUUGUAGUAUUCCAGAUAUCAUUAAACUAAAGACAUGGUGCUGGGGUUGGU